Molecule: small nuclear RNA, 194 nt
Organism: Vombatus ursinus (common wombat)
Lineage: Eukaryota; Metazoa; Chordata; Mammalia; Diprotodontia; Vombatidae
Gene: U2
Rfam family: U2 spliceosomal RNA
About the family: U2 is a small nuclear RNA (snRNA) component of the spliceosome (involved in pre-mRNA splicing). Complementary binding between U2 snRNA (in an area lying towards the 5' end but 3' to hairpin I) and the branchpoint sequence (BPS) of the intron results the bulging out of an unpaired adenosine, on the BPS, which initiates a nucleophilic attack at the intronic 5' splice site, thus starting the first of two transesterification reactions that mediate splicing.
Source: Ensembl
AUCACUUUUUGGGUCUUUUGACUAAGAUCAAGUAGAUCAUCUAUUCCUAUUAGUUUAUUAUCUGAUAGGUCCUCUACCUAAGGAUUGAAUGUUAAAUAUAUUUUUUUGGAACAGGGAGAUGGAAUAGGAACUUGCUCUGUCCACUUCACAAAUUGAUGUGACAGUGUAAUACUUCUGGAAAUAGUGCAUUUUCC